This 75-nucleotide transfer RNA is filed under the name Pseudomonadota bacterium. RNAcentral describes it as "tRNA-Met". It matches the Rfam family "tRNA". From Rfam's summary of the family: Transfer RNA (tRNA) molecules are approximately 80 nucleotides in length. Their secondary structure includes four short double-helical elements and three loops (D, anti-codon, and T loops). RNAcentral also lists the same sequence under 2 other names. Lineage: Bacteria; Pseudomonadati; Pseudomonadota. The record is from RNAcentral.
GGCGGUGUAGCUCAGCGGUAGAGCAGGGGAAUCAUAAUCCCUGUGUCCGGGGUUCAAAUCCCUGCACCGCCACCA